Long non-coding RNA from Drosophila biarmipes, 2284 nucleotides. RefSeq lists it as uncharacterized. Lineage: Eukaryota; Metazoa; Arthropoda; Insecta; Diptera; Drosophilidae. The record is from RefSeq and is a predicted model, not a curated record. The transcript has 3 exons.
UAAUUAAUGAACACAAAGCUCUUCGAUCAAAAACUAUAGUCCAAUAAUAAUGAUGUAACAUAAAUGUCUGAUAUUUAAUAUACCAGUAACCCCCGCCAUCUGUAAACGAGCAAACUGCAACAUUCAAUGAUCGAGCCAUCUGCCUAGGGCCAAUCCGAGAUGGAUACCAAGUCACUUAAGACAUCUCACACUUUCGGAUCGAGUGAGUGCGAUGGAGAAACUAUCAAUAAUCACUUCGCUGGAAUUAAGACAACACAAAAAAAAUGGGAUAAAUCAUUAAUUACGGAAAGCAAAUUGAGACCGGUUGAGAAUUUGUAGGAAACAAAGCAAGAUGUCAGAAAGAUGCCACUCGAGCUAAUAAUGAAGACAGUGCGAAGCGAGCGGACAAGUGCUCGGAGACCGGGUUCACACAAUCCAUCAAUCGAUCGGCCAUCGAUCCGUCGAUCCAUCAAGGCACAUAAAUCAUUGGAAGGGCGACUGGUCGAUAAUUAGAAGUGGAAAACAAACUCCAAUUGCCAGUGCCGAUUUCAAUUGCGCAAAAACCCAUAACACAUCCUGGCUGGCAAUCAGCCAAAUGAGCUCCUAAUAGAAUAUUAACUCCCAAAAAGCGAUUCGGGCAACCGCCUAACCGAGUGCAGUGGUUAUGCCGGGCGUAUUGGAGUCGCAUUUGGACCCAGCACGCUCACAGAUGCAGAGAUACGGAUACAGGUGCAGAGAUGCCCGAACAGCAGGCAGGUAAACUGGGCCCGGAGCAAACCAGUUAUGGGCCCCAACCGAACGCCGAAUUCAAGUCCGGUUUUGAGCCGAAUUCGAAGACGAGUUCGAACUGCGAAAAUUCGGAGAUCGCACCACUACCAGUGCAGCGGGCACCAAUACAGCGACAGCUACCUGAGCGGGAGAGCGCAGCCACACCACCGAGGCUUCGAGCUCGAAUUCGAGUUCGAAAACGCGCGGCCCGGUCCUGAACCCGGGUCCUCUAGCGGACCUGGGCAGUUCCUCCUUUUCUGCCGUGCGAUGCGCAUGCGACGUCGAAGGGCGAACGCUCCGCACCACACCAUCUUACCCAGCACACAGCGACACGGGAGUAUCGGUGGCAUGGCCGCUCCAAGCGCGACGCACUCUACGCACACACUUGUCGCCUCGCUCGCACCCGCACUUGCCCCAUGCGCAUGCGCAUGCGCGUCGAUUGGCUCCGCCCCCGGGUUUCGAAAUACUUGACUGACUUUCAAUAUGGCCGCCGUUUUGACAGCUCCUAUUGUUGCUGUUGUGCGAGUAUCCUUAAAGAAAUGCUUCAUUUUCAACACCAUCUGAUUGAGUUUUCGAUUUCAAUUACCGCCACCAACUGUUGAGUUUAUUAGACAGGACGGAAAGAAGCUUACCGCCUUAAACAGAGUGCAUAAAUUUCCCUAUACGUCUCAAUCUUUUCGUGCGAUAUGGCUGGCCAUUAAAAUUAAGUAAUUUGAAGACAAGGCAGGGAAAUGUUGUCACAACAUUCCAGUAAUUACCCGUAAUGCCGAAAGAACACAACAAUCCCGACUGCGACCAGGAACGACGUCGCUAAUGAUCGAAUCAUUUCGGAUAAUGGCCCGAAUGAAGAAGCAGGGAACUGUAUCUGUAACUGUAUCUGGAACUGUUGGCCAUAAGAAAGGCCAGCGACAAAAAGCGGAGAGCGAGAUACUCGACUCACCAGAAGUCAAACUGAAAAUUGAGCUGCAGAUAUUUUCGGUAGCAGGAGCGUUCGCGUGGGUUGGAAGAGCCCCAGAUACAGAUGCCGAUAGGGAAACAGGAACUCGGAGCCGGUCAAAUGCACAAAAAUGAAGUGCGAACCCAUUAAUCAAGGCUUUACUAAAUUUAAUAUGCGGUUAAAAGUGCUAAUGACGCUGGUCGGGCAAUCGUUUAAGCCUCGUCCCCCAGAACCACCCCCGCCCCCGCACACAAACCCACUUCGAGGAGCGGGACAGGAGCGGGCUGAGCCCAACGGAACCAAACCAGACCGAACCGAACCGAACCGAAGAACCGGCGGAGAGCAGGGCAGUACAUAAAGUUUAAUGAGGAACCACUUAACACUUUCAGAGCUUUUUACGUUCUGCUGUCAUUAGAAUGAUUUUUGCCACUAAAUGCGAUCCCAGAAAGCACUGGAAGAAAUUUGCGGAAGGUUGAAUAAAAUAACAGAUAAAUGUGACAAAAUAUAUUAUCUUUUGAAUAUUCCAAAUACAUUUUUGUAUCGACGGUUCGGGAGAUUUAAAAAAAAAAAUAUAAUAAAUAUAAAUUAUUGUCUCACAAA